RNAcentral lists this ribosomal RNA (449 nucleotides) under uncultured bacterium. Its description in RNAcentral is "partial 16S ribosomal RNA". It matches the Rfam family "Bacterial small subunit ribosomal RNA", at positions 29 to 523 of the family's 1533-position model. The record is from RNAcentral.
AACGAACGCUGGCGGCAUGCCUAACACAUGCAAGUCGAACGAAGCCUUCGGGCUUAGUGGCGCACGGGUGCGUAACGCGUGGGAAUCUGCCCUUGGGUUCGGAGUAACAGUUGGAAAUGACUGCUAAUACCGGAUGAUGUCUUCGGACCAAAGAUUUAUCGCCCAAGGAUGAGCCCGCGUAGGAUUAGGUAGUUGGUGGGGUAAUGGCCCACCAAGCCGACGAUCCUUAGCUGGUCUGAGAGGAUGAUCAGCCGCACUGGGACUGAGACACGGCCCAGACUCCUACGGGAGGCAGCAGUGGGGAAUAUUGGACAAUGGGCGAAAGCCUGAUCCAGCAAUGCCGCGUGAGUGAUGAAGGCCUUAGGGUUGUAAAGCUCUUUUACCAGGGAUGAUAAUGACAGUACCUGGAGAAUAAGCUCCGGCUAACUCCGUGCCAGCAGCCGCAGUAA